UACAGAGGUCUCGAGCGUUAGGCGGAAUCACUGGGCUUAAAGCGUGUGUAGGCGGAUCGUUAAGUGCCUUGUGAAAUCCCACGGCUCAACCGUGGAACUGCUUGGCAUACUGGCGGUCUUGAGCCAGCUAGGGGCUACCGGAACAAAUGGUGGAGCGGUGAAAUGCGUAGAUAUCAUUUGGAACGCCAAUGGUGAAAACAGGUAGCUGGGGCUGUGCUGACGCUGAGACACGAAAGCCAGGGGAGCAAACGGG
RNAcentral lists this ribosomal RNA (253 nucleotides) under uncultured bacterium. Its description in RNAcentral is "partial 16S ribosomal RNA". It matches the Rfam family "Bacterial small subunit ribosomal RNA", at positions 524 to 776 of the family's 1533-position model. The record is from RNAcentral.